Molecule: ribosomal RNA, 387 nt
Filed under: uncultured bacterium
Lineage: Bacteria
Description: partial 16S ribosomal RNA
Rfam family: Bacterial small subunit ribosomal RNA
Source: RNAcentral
AUACGUAGGGGGCAAGCGUUAUCCGGAUUUACUGGGUGUAAAGGGAGCGUAGGCGGCGAAGCAAGUCAGAUGUGAAAAUCCAGUGCUCAACAUUGGACGUGCAUUUGAAACUGCAGGUCUUGAGUAUCGGAGAGGCAAGCGGAAUUCCUAGUGUAGCGGUGAAAUGCGUAGAUAUUAGGAGGAACACCAGUGGCGAAGGCGGCUUGCUGGGCUGUUACUGACGCUGAGACACGAAAGCGUGGGGAGCAAAUAGGAUUAGAUCCCCUAGUAGUCCACGCCGUAAACGAUGAGUACUAAGUGUCGGGUAACCGGUGCUGAAGUUAACACAUUAAGUACUCCGCCUGAGUAGUACGGUCGCAAGGCUGAAACUCAAAUGAAUUGACGGGG